UUAGGCACAACCUGCCAGUGUCUAUCUAGGGAAACAUCAUUCUGUGUGCUGUGAUAGGGUAAACGUCACGAUAAGGCAACUUUACACAGAUACCGAUUGCACUUGGACAGAAAACACAGGCCUUUAUAAGUUACACUGCUGGGUGUAGCGACAAGCAAACGGUCACAGCUAUCGGGCAGACAUGUACACCAAGGCAGUUAUCUUCUUUGCGCUCGUCAUUGCUAUCUUCUCUGUGGAGGCUACGUGCCAGAGGGAAGCGGAUAUACUUCAACUACUAGAACCGAUUUUUCGCAAGAUUCUGCAAUUGGUUGUAAAGCUUGUCCCUGAUAGGUCAGCAACGAACCGGUAACUUAAGGACCUUCUAGACAGAUGCCAGCUGCAGUUCCUGCAAUAUUAUCUAAUAUUUAUAUAUGUAAAUGGAAUAAUUUAAAUCUUGGAAACUGUGUUAAUAUUAUGCCUAAAAGAAACAACUGGUGUAACGAUUUAAUAAAUGUGAUGUGUAACAAAUAAAGGAAGAAGAG
Cryptotermes secundus is the source of this 521-nucleotide long non-coding RNA. RefSeq lists it as uncharacterized. The record is from RefSeq and is a predicted model, not a curated record. Lineage: Eukaryota; Metazoa; Arthropoda; Insecta; Blattodea; Kalotermitidae. The transcript is spliced from 4 exons.